This 433-nucleotide ribosomal RNA is filed under the name uncultured bacterium. RNAcentral describes it as "partial 16S ribosomal RNA". It matches the Rfam family "Bacterial small subunit ribosomal RNA", at positions 29 to 507 of the family's 1533-position model. The record is from RNAcentral.
AACGAACGCUGGCGGCAUGCCUAACACAUGCAAGUCGAACGAGACCUUCGGGUCUAGUGGCGCACGGGUGCGUAACGCGUGGGAACCUGCCCUUAGGUUCGGAGUAACUCCCCGAAAGGGGUGCUAAUACCGGAUAAUGUCUUCGGACCAAAGAUUUAUCGCCUUUGGAUGGGCCCGCGUUGGAUUAGCUAGUUGGUAGGGUAAAAGCCUACCAAGGCGACGAUCCAUAGCUGGUCUGAGAGGAUGAUCAGCCACACUGGGACUGGGACACGGCCCAGACUCCUACGGGAGGCAGCAGUGGGGAAUAUUGGACAAUGGGCGAAAGCCUGAUCCAGCAAUGCCGCGUGAGUGAUGAAGGCCUUAGGGUUGUAAAGCUCUUUUACCCGGGAUGAUAAUGACAGUACCGGGAGAAUAAGCUCCGGCUAACUCCGUG